Molecule: transfer RNA, 66 nt
Filed under: Oncomelania hupensis hupensis
Lineage: Eukaryota; Metazoa; Mollusca; Gastropoda; Littorinimorpha; Pomatiopsidae
Also listed under: 1 other name
Description: tRNA-Met
Rfam family: tRNA
About the family: Transfer RNA (tRNA) molecules are approximately 80 nucleotides in length.
Source: RNAcentral
UGUAAAAUAAGCUAAAUAUUAAGCUGUUGGGUUCAUACCCCAAAAAUGAGAUCUACUCUUUUACAA